ACAAUUACAGUUGAACCUUGGAA
Molecule: non-coding RNA, 23 nt
Filed under: Arabidopsis thaliana (thale cress)
Lineage: Eukaryota; Viridiplantae; Streptophyta; Magnoliopsida; Brassicales; Brassicaceae
Source: RNAcentral